RNAcentral lists this ribosomal RNA (370 nucleotides) under uncultured bacterium. Its description in RNAcentral is "bacterial SSU rRNA". It matches the Rfam family "Bacterial small subunit ribosomal RNA", at positions 527 to 896 of the family's 1533-position model. The record is from RNAcentral.
GAACCGAGCGAACGUUGUUCGGAAUCACUGGGCUUAAAGGGCGCGUAGGCGGGCGGUCACGUCCGGGGUGAAAUCCCACGGCUCAACCGUGGAACGGCCUCGGAUACGGGCGGCCUCGAGGGGGGUAGGGGCAUGCGGAACUGUGAGUGGAGCGGUGAAAUGCGUUGAUAUUCACAGGAACUCCGGUGGCGAAGGCGGCGUGCUGGACCCCACCUGACGCUGAGGCGCGAAAGCCAGGGGAGCAAACGGGAUUAGAUACCCCGGUAGUCCUGGCCCUAAACGAUGGGUACUAGGUAGUCGGCCGGACAUGGGCUGACUGCCGGAGCCAAAGUGCUAAGUACCCCGCCUGGGGAGUAUGGUCGCAAGGCUG